This 783-nucleotide ribosomal RNA is filed under the name Pseudomonas sp. DRBS1. RNAcentral describes it as "bacterial SSU rRNA". It matches the Rfam family "Bacterial small subunit ribosomal RNA". The record is from RNAcentral. Lineage: Bacteria; Pseudomonadati; Pseudomonadota; Gammaproteobacteria; Pseudomonadales; Pseudomonadaceae.
UAGAGUUUGAUCCUGGCUCAGAUUGAACGCUGGCGGCAGGCCUAACACAUGCAAGUCGAGCGGAUGAGAGGAGCUUGCUCCUUGAUUUAGCGGCGGACGGGUGAGUAAUGCCUAGGAAUCUGCCUAGUGGUGGGGGAUAACGUUCCGAAAGGAACGCUAAUACCGCAUACGUCCUACGGGAGAAAGCGGGGGAUCUUCGGACCUCGCGCCAUUAGAUGAGCCUAGGUCGGAUUAGCUAGUUGGUGAGGUAAAGGCUCACCAAGGCGACGAUCCGUAACUGGUCUGAGAGGAUGAUCAGUCACACUGGAACUGAGACACGGUCCAGACUCCUACGGGAGGCAGCAGUGGGGAAUAUUGGACAAUGGGCGAAAGCCUGAUCCAGCCAUGCCGCGUGUGUGAAGAAGGUCUUCGGAUUGUAAAGCACUUUAAGUUGGGAGGAAGGGUAUUCACCUAAUACGUGAGUAUUUUUAAGUCCCGUAACGAGCGCAACCCUUGUCCUUAGUUACCAGCACGUUAUGGUGGGCACUCUAAGGAGACUGCCGGUGACAAACCGGAGGAAGGUGGGGAUGACGUCAAGUCAUCAUGGCCCUUACGGCCAGGGCUACACACGUGCUACAAUGGUCGGUACAAAGGGUUGCCAAGCCGCGAGGUGGAGCUAAUCCCAUAAAACCGAUCGUAGUCCGGAUCGCAGUCUGCAACUCGACUGCGUGAAGUCGGAAUCGCUAGUAAUCGUGAAUCAGAAUGUCACGGUGAAUACGUUCCCGGGCCUUGUACACACCGCCC